AUUUUGUUUAUUUUUUUCCAUUCCUCUGGUGAGAUUCAGGUCCUAGUCAUGGAAUGAUAUGUGGACAUUUUUACAUCUUUUUGGGGUUGGUUCCAUCAUGUUCUGUUCACGAAAGUCACACAUGCAUGCAAUCUGCAGCAACAGGCAGCUCUUGGCUACUGGCGGGGGAGAGACAGCCCCCACUCAGGGCUUUCCACAAGCUCUACAGCAGUCUGAAGGAGAAGGAAAUCAAGCUGAAGAGCUAAGUGAGACCACUGACUUCAAGUGGAGAAACUGAAAGGAAUUCAGCAGAGUGGUAAGAAGCUAGAUCUGGGCAGUGUGAUUCACUAUUGCCUUCAUCCAAAACACUCCGAAUAGACCAUUUCUGAAGUCGGUCUAACUUCUCAAGCCUGCCAGUCAUGUCUGCAUGGAAGUUCAUCCUUCAUAAUCAGCAGACUCUCACACUUCUAAUACCAUUUGAAUAUCUCUAUUAACUAGAAAGGCAGAUACCUGGGCCUGCUUACCACCCAUUCCAGAAACUACGAAUCAUCAGGUCUGGAGUAAGACUCAUGAAUCUGCUUCUUCAACCGAGCAAGAUAUUCAGCAAAUAUUCAUUCCAUCACAUUAUGAUAAAUACCUCCUUAAACAAAGAAAGAGGGUCCUGCCUUUGAGACCCUACUUUCGUGUCAAGGCAUUAUCUUCUGGGAAUUCCUGGGAGUGGCAUCCUGUAGCAUCAUGGUUAGUCUGUCUUUCUGUCUGUUUAACUAUGAACAAAGGCUUUGAGGUUAGUAACAAUUGAGUCUGAAUUCUUACUCCAACGCCUAAAAAUAUGUGACCUUGUCCUUUCUAAGCCUGUUUCCUUAUUGCAAAAGUAGAACGAUAGGACCUAAUUUACAGGGUUGCAGUGAGGACUAUAUGUAACAAAAGGAAAAAAAAAAAUAAUGCCUUUAGCAACAAACAUACAAUAAACGCU
This is a long non-coding RNA of Zalophus californianus (California sea lion), 952 nucleotides long. RefSeq lists it as uncharacterized. The transcript is spliced from 4 exons. Lineage: Eukaryota; Metazoa; Chordata; Mammalia; Carnivora; Otariidae. The record is from RefSeq and is a predicted model, not a curated record.